GGCGGUUCUCGGGUGAUGCACCCUGGAAUCAGGCUCCCUCCUCUCUGGUUCCGGGUGUGUCACCCAAGAACCUCC
Molecule: non-coding RNA, 75 nt
Organism: Myotis lucifugus (little brown bat)
Lineage: Eukaryota; Metazoa; Chordata; Mammalia; Chiroptera; Vespertilionidae
Source: Rfam